This 465-nucleotide ribosomal RNA is filed under the name uncultured bacterium. RNAcentral describes it as "partial 16S ribosomal RNA". It matches the Rfam family "Bacterial small subunit ribosomal RNA", at positions 28 to 507 of the family's 1533-position model. The record is from RNAcentral.
GACGAACGCUGGCGGCGUGCUUAACACAUGCAAGUCGAACGGAAAGGCCCUGCUUGCAGGGUACUCGAGUGGCGAACGGGUGAGUAACACGUGGGUGAUCUGCCCUGCACUUCGGGAUAAGCCUGGGAAACUGGGUCUAAUACCGGAUAGGAGCCAUUUUUAGUGUGAUGGUUGGAAAGUUUUUUCGGUGUAGGAUGAGCUCGCGGCCUAUCAGCUUGUUGGUGGGGUAAUGGCCUACCAAGGCGGCGACGGGUAGCCGGCCUGAGAGGGUGGACGGCCACAGUGGGACUGAGAUACGGCCCAGACGCCUACGGGGGGCAGCAGGGGGGAAUAUUGCACAAGUGGCGCAAGCCUGAUGCAGCGACGCCGCGUGGGGGAUGACGGCCUUCGGGUUGGAAACUCCUUUCGCUAGGGACGAAGCUUUUUGUGACCGUACCUAGAGAAGAAGCACCGGCUAACUACGUG